AGCCCGAAUCCCGUUGAUGAUCGGUGCUUGCACCGAGAUUCAACAUGGAACGAGUGGCGGACGGGUGAGUAACACGUGGGUAACCUGCCCUUAAGUGGGGGAUAACAUUUGGAAACAGAUGCUAAUACCGCAUAGAUCCAAGAACCGCAUGGUUCUUGGCUGAAAGAUGGCGUAAGCUAUCGCUUUUGGAUGGACCCGCGGCGUAUUAGCUAGUUGGUGAGGUAAUGGCUCACCAAGGCGAUGAUACGUAGCCGAACUGAGAGGUUGAUCGGCCACAUUGGGACUGAGACACGGCCCAAACUCCUACGGGAGGCAGCAGUAGGGAAUCUUCCACAAUGGACGCAAGUCUGAUGGAGCAACGCCGCGUGAGUGAAGAAGGCUUUCGGGUCGUAAAACUCUGUUGUUGGAGAAGAAUGGUCGGCAGAGUAACUGUUGUCGGCGUGACGGUAUCCAACCAGAAAGCCACGGCUAACUACGUGCCAGCAGCCGCGGUAAUACGUAGGUGGCAAGCGUUAUCCGGAUUUAUUGGGCGUAAAGCGAGCGCAGGCGGUUUUUUAAGUCUGAUGUGAAAGCCCUCGGCUUAACCGAGGAAGCGCAUCGGAAACUGGGAAACUUGAGUGCAGAAGAGGACAGUGGAACUCCAUGUGUAGCGGUGUUU
Molecule: ribosomal RNA, 658 nt
Filed under: Lacticaseibacillus paracasei
Lineage: Bacteria; Bacillati; Bacillota; Bacilli; Lactobacillales; Lactobacillaceae
Description: bacterial SSU rRNA
Rfam family: Bacterial small subunit ribosomal RNA
Source: RNAcentral